GAUCCUGGCUCAGGAUGAACGCUAGCGACAGGCCUAACACAUGCAAGUCGAGGGGCAGCGGGGAGGUAGCAAUACCUUUGCCGGCGACCGGCGCACGGGUGAGUAACACGUAUGCAGUCCACCUGUAACAGGGGGAUAACCCGGAGAAAUCCGGACUAAUACCCCAUAAUAUGGGCGCUCCGCAUGGAGAGUUCAUUAAAGNGAGCAAUUUUGGUUACAGACGAGCAUGCGCUCCAUUAG
RNAcentral lists this ribosomal RNA (240 nucleotides) under uncultured bacterium. RNAcentral describes it as "partial 16S ribosomal RNA". It matches the Rfam family "Bacterial small subunit ribosomal RNA", at positions 15 to 244 of the family's 1533-position model. The record is from RNAcentral.